This 780-nucleotide ribosomal RNA is filed under the name uncultured bacterium. RNAcentral describes it as "bacterial SSU rRNA". It matches the Rfam family "Bacterial small subunit ribosomal RNA", at positions 8 to 804 of the family's 1533-position model. The record is from RNAcentral.
AGAGUUUGAUCCUGGCUCAGAUUGAACGCUGGCGGUAUGCUUAACACAUGCAAGUCGAACGGAGACGAUACUAGCUUGCUAGUAGGCGUCGAGUGGCGGACGGGUGAGUAACGCGUAGGAAUCUACCUGAUAGUGGGGGAUAGCCCGAAGAAAUUCGGAUUAAUACCGCAUAAUCUAUUCGUAGUAAAGUGGGGGACUUUCGAGCCUCACGCUAUCAGAUGAGCCCGCACUUGAUUAGUUUGUUGGUAGGGUAAUGGCCUACCAAGACUAUGAUCAAUAGCUGAUUUGAGAGGAUGAUCAGCCACAUUGGGACUGAGACACGGCCCAAACUCCUACGGGAGGCAGCAGUGGGGAAUCUUGCACAAUGGAGGAAACUCUGAUGCAGCGAUGCCGCGUGAGUGAAGAAGGCCUUUGGGUUGUAAAGCUCUUUCGUCGGGGAAGAAAAUGACUGUACCCGAAUAAGAAGGUCCGGCUAACUUCGUGCCAGCAGCCGCGGUAAUACGAAGGGACCUAGCGUAGUUCGGAAUUACUGGGCUUAAAGAGUUCGUAGGUGGUUGAAAAAGUUGGUGGUGAAAUCCCAGAGCUUAACUCUGGAACUGCCAUCAAAACUUUUCAGCUAGAGUAUGAUAGAGGAAAGCAGAAUUUCUAGUGUAGAGGUGAAAUUCGUAGAUAUUAGAAAGAAUACCAAUUGCGAAGGCAGCUUUCUGGAUCAUUACUGACACUGAGGAACGAAAGCAUGGGUAGCGAAGAGGAUUAGAUACCCUCGUAGUCCAUGCCGUA